Molecule: long non-coding RNA, 344 nt
Filed under: Ananas comosus (pineapple)
Lineage: Eukaryota; Viridiplantae; Streptophyta; Magnoliopsida; Poales; Bromeliaceae
Description: long non-coding RNA (ACOM_LNC044481)
Source: RNAcentral
GAAACCUACGGGCUAGCCAAAAAGACCUAGAGUUGGAAAGUGAAUCUUGCAUUCAUCAUGAGCAUUCUAUUGAGUAUAGCAUUGAUUAUAUUGUUCAGGCAUAUUAGCUGCAUUUGUUUAGUUGGUUACUAUCUAUCUAUUCUUCUAUUAUGUCUGAUUUAGACCUAAUAGGAAAGUCGGCGAGGUCGGCGGCCGAACCCACUGGGAACUUUGUUGUAGUUCUCACCCCCCUUUUUCCACAGAGCCGGGACCGAGUGAGCCGGCCGACGAUCGCGGUAAAGGUAUCGCGCCAUAGACAGAGACCACCCGAGUGGGUUUCAUAUUUUGGUUUAGUUGUAUACCCU